UUUUUCAUCGUAUAAUGGCUAUUACCUCAGCCUUCCAAGCUGAUGAUGCGGGUUCGAUUCCCGCUGCCCGCUCCA
Molecule: transfer RNA, 75 nt
Filed under: Salmonella enterica subsp. enterica serovar Newport str. SHSN011
Lineage: Bacteria; Pseudomonadati; Pseudomonadota; Gammaproteobacteria; Enterobacterales; Enterobacteriaceae
Description: tRNA-Gly
Rfam family: tRNA (bases 6-66)
About the family: Transfer RNA (tRNA) molecules are approximately 80 nucleotides in length. Their secondary structure includes four short double-helical elements and three loops (D, anti-codon, and T loops).
Source: RNAcentral